RNAcentral lists this long non-coding RNA (510 nucleotides) under Homo sapiens (human). RNAcentral's name for it is "novel transcript, antisense to GDE1". Lineage: Eukaryota; Metazoa; Chordata; Mammalia; Primates; Hominidae. The record is from RNAcentral.
UUUGUUGCACUCAAUGAACAAAUCUUUGUUGUUUAUUUUAAAAUUCAAGACAAUUUUUUUGCAAAUGCUGAUUCAAAACGUACCAAUCCCCAUCUAUCAUGCCUAUGCCAAUACAAUCUGUCACAAAAAAGUUUGCUUCUCAUUGUCACAUAGCUAUGGGGACUGGUGGCCUUCUAAAAUCACUGUCCAGCUGCUGCAAGUGUGAGAAGCGGUAAGCUAGAGGAGACAGACGGCGUUGCCAUUAAAAACAAUUCAACUUCAUUUUAAUGUUGCUAUGUAAGUUCACAAUAAAAUCCCUGGAAGUUCAAAUUGGAAAGAGCAGUUUGGGGUCAUGGGCUCAACAAUAUAAAGGCAGAUUCAGUGAGGGGUAAGGGUAGUGGCUCUGGGGGCAGACUGACCUAGAUUUGAAUGCCAGUUGUACCAGACUCAAGACACCUUGGGUAAGUGGUUUUAUGAAGUACCUCAGUUCUUCAUCAGUAGAAAGAGUGCUAACACCUCCAUAAGACUUUU